RNAcentral lists this ribosomal RNA (232 nucleotides) under uncultured bacterium. RNAcentral describes it as "partial 16S ribosomal RNA". It matches the Rfam family "Bacterial small subunit ribosomal RNA", at positions 99 to 334 of the family's 1533-position model. The record is from RNAcentral.
CGGACGGGUGAGUAAUGUCCGGGAAACUGCCUGAUGGAGGGGGAUAACUACUGGAAACGGUAGCUAAUACCGCAUAACGUCGCAAGACCAAAGAGGGGGACCUUCGGGCCUCUUGCCAUCGGAUGUGCCCAGAUGGGAUUAGCUAGUAGGUGGGGUAACGGCUCACCUAGGCGACGAUCCCUAGCUGGUCUGAGAGGAUGGCCAGCCACACUGGAACUGAGACACGGUCCAG